AUAAAAAUCAACUUUGUUGGUGAAUCAUAAUAACUUCUCGGACCGCAUGGCCUCGUGCUGGCGGUGCUUCAUUCAAAUAUCUGCCCUAUCAACUGUCGAUGGUAGGAUAGAGGCCUACCAUGGUUGCAACGGGUAACGGGGAAUAAGGGUUCGAUUCCGGAGAGGGAGCCUGAGAAACGGCUACCACAUCCAAGGAAGGCAGCAGGCGCGCAAAUUACCCAAUCCCAACACGGGGAGGUAGUGACAAUAUGUAACAAUAUACGGCCUUAUACGUCGUAUAAUUGGAAUGAGUACAAUUUAAAUCCCUUAACGAGGAACAAUUGGAGGGCAAGUCUGGUGCCAGCAGCCGCGGUAAUUCCAGCUCCAAUAGCGUAUAUUAAAGUUGUUGCAGUUAAAAAGCUCGUAGUUGGACCUUGGACCUGGACAGGCGGUCCGCCUCACGGCGAGUACUGUCUUGCUGGGUCUUUCCUCUUGGUGAUCUGUUGUUUAGGCAG
RNAcentral lists this ribosomal RNA (494 nucleotides) under uncultured fungus. Its description in RNAcentral is "SSU rRNA". It matches the Rfam family "Eukaryotic small subunit ribosomal RNA", at positions 215 to 721 of the family's 1831-position model. Lineage: Eukaryota; Fungi. The record is from RNAcentral.